This 477-nucleotide ribosomal RNA is filed under the name uncultured bacterium. Its description in RNAcentral is "partial 16S ribosomal RNA". It matches the Rfam family "Bacterial small subunit ribosomal RNA", at positions 28 to 507 of the family's 1533-position model. The record is from RNAcentral.
GAUUAACGCUGGCGGCGUGCAUAACACAUGCAAGUCGAACGAUGAAACUUAACUGAUUUCUUCGGAAUGAUUUUAAGUGGAUUAGUGGCGGGCGGGUGAGUAACGCGUGAGUAACCUGCCUUGGAGAAGGGGAUAGCCUUUGGAAACGAAGAAUAAUACCCUAUGAUAUGAUAAUAUCUCAUGAUAUUAUCAUCAAAGAUUUAUCGCUCUAAGAUGGACUUGCGUCUGAUUAGUUAGUUGGUGAGGUAACAGCUCACCAAGGCAGCGAUCAGUAGCCGGCUUGAGAGAGUGUACGGCCACAUUGGGACUGAGACACGGCCCAGACUCCUACGGGAGGCAGCAGUGGGGAAUUUUGCACAAUGGGGGAAACCCUGAUGCAGCGACGCCGCGUGAUUUAGAAGGCCUUCGGGUUGUAAAAAUCUUUUGUAUGGGAAGAAAAUGACAGUACCAUACGAAUAAGGACCGGCUAAUUACGUG